UGGGGAAUAUUGCACAAUGGGCGCAAGCCUGAUGCAGCCAUGCCGCGUGUAUGAAGAAGGCCUUCGGGUUGUAAAGUACUUUCAGCGAGGAGGAAGGCGUUGUGGUUAAUAACCGCAGCGAUUGACGUUACUCGCAGAAGAAGCACCGGCUAACUCCGUGCCAGCAGCCGCGGUAAUACGGAGGGUGCAAGCGUUAAUCGGAAUUACUGGGUGUAAAGCGCACGCAGGAGGUCUGUCAAGUCGGAUGUGAAAUCCCCGGGCUCAACCUGGGAACUGCAUCCGAAACUGGCAGGCUAGAGUCUUGUAGAGGGGGGUAGAAUUCCAGGUGUAGCGGUGAAAUGCGUAGAGAUCUGGAGGAAUACCGGUGGCGAAGGCGGCCCCCUGGACAAAGACUGACGCUCAGGUGCGAAAGCGUGGGGAGCAAACA
Molecule: ribosomal RNA, 427 nt
Filed under: uncultured bacterium
Lineage: Bacteria
Description: partial 16S ribosomal RNA
Rfam family: Bacterial small subunit ribosomal RNA
Source: RNAcentral